This 590-nucleotide long non-coding RNA is filed under the name Setaria viridis. RNAcentral describes it as "long non-coding RNA (SVIR_LNC008435)". Lineage: Eukaryota; Viridiplantae; Streptophyta; Magnoliopsida; Poales; Poaceae. The record is from RNAcentral.
AACAAGGUGGCCUUGUAAAUUGUAAAUAAGAAGAAACAUGCUCCCAAAUUCGAGCCGGAGAGUAUCUCGAACAUGAGUGGGUGGUGUACACACCCACACACCCCACCGACUAAUCUAGGGUGAGUUCCUUAGAAUUCAGUUUACAAUACGAAUAAAAUUAAGUACAGUGAGCAUCUGGUGUGAAGAUCGCAAUGCAGGUAAACUCAGCAAUCUUCAAAAGUAUGAUAUAAUUAAUGAAAAAGGCAUCAUUGAGCAGAAAGAAGACAAAAUUACAUGUUGCUCCAUCAAUAAUCAGUAGAUGAAAUAAAACCACGUUAGGCACUAACGAGUAGUACGUUUAGAAUUUUUAUUAUACCUGAAACUGGAACGCUCUGAUUAUGGCAAUAAGAUCCUUCAAAAUAGCAAGAUCGCUGAUUUCUAUAGACAGUUUAUGUUAAAAAAAAUGUAUAUGAAACUUCUCUGCAAAAACAGCAGACCAAAACUUAAAGUUUCACUGGCAGAUCAUAAUCCACCAUUCCACCUCCUUCCCUCUACAGUGAAAGCUCACCUUCAAAAUCCAACUAAGCGAAGCAAAAGUUUGGAGUACGAAC